GCUGGAUACAGUGGUUGGUGGCUACAGUCCCAGCUAUGUGGGAGGCUGGGGAAGGAUUGCUUGAGCCCAGGAGUUCUGGGCUAUAGUGUGCUAUGUCAAUCGGGUGUAAAUUUGGCAUCCGUAUGGUAACCUCCUGGGAGUGGGGGACCACCCCGUUGCCUAAGGAGGGGCGAACCCGCAGGCCAGGUUGGAAACAGAGUAGGUCAGAACUCCCAUGCUGAUCGAUAAUGGGAUCAUGCUUAUGAAUAGCUACUGCACUCAAGCCUGGACGACAUAAUGAGACCCUCU
This 288-nucleotide signal recognition particle RNA is filed under the name Microcebus murinus (gray mouse lemur). Its description in RNAcentral is "Metazoan signal recognition particle RNA (ENSMICG00000037387.2)". It matches the Rfam family "Metazoan signal recognition particle RNA". Rfam says of the family: The signal recognition particle (SRP) is a universally conserved ribonucleoprotein. It is involved in the co-translational targeting of proteins to membranes. The eukaryotic SRP consists of a 300-nucleotide 7S RNA and six proteins: SRPs 72, 68, 54, 19, 14, and 9. The record is from RNAcentral. Lineage: Eukaryota; Metazoa; Chordata; Mammalia; Primates; Cheirogaleidae.